RNAcentral lists this ribosomal RNA (617 nucleotides) under Papiliotrema laurentii. RNAcentral describes it as "eukaryotic LSU rRNA". It matches the Rfam family "Eukaryotic large subunit ribosomal RNA", at positions 51 to 657 of the family's 3401-position model. Lineage: Eukaryota; Fungi; Basidiomycota; Tremellomycetes; Tremellales; Rhynchogastremaceae. The record is from RNAcentral.
CGGAGGAAAAGAAACUAACAAGGAUUCCCCUAGUAACGGCGAGUGAACCGGGAAGAGCUCAAAUUUGAAAUCUGGCGUCCUCAGGGCGUCCGAGUUGUAAUCUAUAGAGGCGUUUUCCGUGCCGGACCGUGUCCAAGUUCCUUGGAACAGGAUAUCAAAGAGGGUGACAAUCCCGUACUUGACACGACGACCGGUGCUCUGUGAUACGUCUUCUACGAGUCGAGUUGUUUGGGAAUGCAGCUCAAAAUGGGUGGUGAGUUCCAUCUAAAGCUAAAUAUUGGCGAGAGACCGAUAGCGAACAAGUACCGUGAGGGAAAGAUGAAAAGCACUUUGGAAAGAGAGUUAAACAGUACGUGAAAUUGUUGAAAGGGAAACGAUUGAAGUCAGUCGUGACCGAGAGGCUCAGCCGGUUCUGCCGGUGUAUUCCCCUCGGUCGGGUCAACAUCAGUUUUGUCCGGUGGAUAAGGGCGGUAGGAAGGUGGCACCCUCGGGUGUGUUAUAGCCUGCCGUCGCAUACAUCGGGUGAGACUGAGGAACGCAGCUCGCCUUUAUGGCCGGGGUUCGCCCACGUCCGAGCUUAGGAUGUUGACAUAAUGGCUUUAAACGACCCGUCUUGA